This 482-nucleotide ribosomal RNA is filed under the name uncultured bacterium. RNAcentral describes it as "partial 16S ribosomal RNA". It matches the Rfam family "Bacterial small subunit ribosomal RNA", at positions 30 to 505 of the family's 1533-position model. The record is from RNAcentral.
AUUGAACGCUGGCGGCAGGCCUAACACAUGCAAGUCGAGCGGAUGAAGGGAGCUUGCUCCUGGAUUCAGCGGCGGACGGGUGAGUAAUGCCUAGGAAUCUGCCUGGUAGUGGGGGAUAACGUCCGGAAACGGGCGCUAAUACCGCAUACGUCCUGAGGGAGAAAGUGGGGGAUCUUCGGACCUCACGCUAUCAGAUGAGCCUAGGUCGGAUUAGCUAGUUGGUGGGGUAAAGGCCUACCAAGGCGACGAUCCGUAACUGGUCUGAGAGGAUGAUCAGUCACACUGGAACUGAGACACGGUCCAGACUCCUACGGGAGGCAGCAGUGGGGAAUAUUGGACAAUGGGCGAAAGCCUGAUCCAGCCAUGCCGCGUGUGUGAAGAAGGUCUUCGGAUUGUAAGGCACUUUAAGUUGGGAGGAAGGGCAGUAAGUUAAUACCUUGCUGUUUUGACGUUACCAACAGAAUAAGCACCGGCUAACUUCG